Molecule: non-coding RNA, 83 nt
Organism: Armillaria novae-zelandiae
Lineage: Eukaryota; Fungi; Basidiomycota; Agaricomycetes; Agaricales; Physalacriaceae
Source: the annotation of a GenBank genome assembly
CCGAUCUUAGCUCAGUUGGAAGAGCGUGGGACUGUAAUCGGCUAAAGUACAUUUGCAUAAGUGUUCGAUCCGCACAGAUCGGA